RNAcentral lists this ribosomal RNA (372 nucleotides) under uncultured Glomeromycotina. Its description in RNAcentral is "LSU rRNA". The record is from RNAcentral. Lineage: Eukaryota; Fungi; Glomeromycota.
UUGAAAGGGAAACGAUUGAAGUCAGUCGUACUUGCGGGCAAUCAGCCUUUUGGGUGUGAUUAUGUGGAGCGUGAGGAGCUAAUCGCCUUCAUCUUUGCAUAUUCGUGCACUUUGGGUGUACUUGCUCGUGUGGUAGGUUAACAUCAAUUUUGAUCAUCAUAAAAUGAUUGAAGGAAUGUAGCUUCGAUCACGUAUUGAAGUGUUAUAGCCUUUGGUAGAUGUGAUGAUCGGGAUUGAGGAUUGCAACGGAUACCCUUCGGGGCUACCUGUCUGAUCUCUGAAAGUUGCUCUGGUGCUGAAAGCUUGCUUAUGGUAUCAAAGUUGACGUUCAAUAGGUUAGAACGGGAUAAAUUCGUUAAGGAUGUUGACGUA